GAGCCUCAUGUAGGACGGGGACAGUGUCCAACCUUGGACCGUGUCCAGCUCCACCCGUUGCGGAAAUCUCCUGUAGUGAAGGGAGACUGUCCUCUAAUGAAGCCGUUACGUCCUUCGCCCCUGGUGUCCCGUCUCCCCGUCAGCCUACCGGCUCCUCGGCCAACAGCGGUGGCAUCUGUGUUUAUUGAGCACUUACUAUGUGCAGAGCACUGUACUAAGCAGUGCUGACCACAGCGGUUGUCUCUGAGGAAAGAGCAUCCGACCAGCAGAAGGGCAGCCAGGCCGCAGUGCAGGUGCGGAGCUCCUCGGGCCUGGACUUCUAACGCUUCCCAGAAGGUUGACGUUCUUCCCUCCCGCCACCCGCUAGCUGACCUGGAAGGUCCUUCCGCUAGUGGAAAGAGCCCGGGCUUGGGAGUCGUAGGU
Long non-coding RNA from Ornithorhynchus anatinus (platypus), 423 nucleotides. RefSeq lists it as uncharacterized. The record is from RefSeq and is a predicted model, not a curated record. NCBI's taxonomy places the organism in Eukaryota, Metazoa, Chordata, Mammalia, Monotremata, Ornithorhynchidae. The transcript has 3 exons.